GCUUACGGCCAUACCACCCUGAGCACGCCCGAUCUCGUCCGAUCUCGGAAGCUAAGCAGGGUCGGGCCUGGUUAGUACUUGGAUGGGAGACCGCCUGGGAAUACCAGGUGCUGUAAGCU
Molecule: ribosomal RNA, 119 nt
Organism: Carassius auratus (goldfish)
Lineage: Eukaryota; Metazoa; Chordata; Actinopteri; Cypriniformes; Cyprinidae
Source: Ensembl